UACAGAGGUCUCAAGCGUUGUUCGGAUUCAUUGGGCGUAAAGGGUGCGUAGGCGGCGCGGUAAGUCGGGUGUGAAAUCUCGGGGCUUAGCUCCGAAACUGCAUUCGAUACUGCCGUGCUUGAGGACUGGAGAGGAGACUGGAAUUUACGGUGUAGCGGUGAAAUGCGUAGAUAUCGUAAGGAAGACCAGUGGCGAAGGCGGGUCUCUGGACAGUUCCUGACGCUGAGGCACGAAGGCCAGGGGAGCAAACGGG
Molecule: ribosomal RNA, 253 nt
Filed under: uncultured bacterium
Lineage: Bacteria
Description: partial 16S ribosomal RNA
Rfam family: Bacterial small subunit ribosomal RNA
Source: RNAcentral